This 253-nucleotide ribosomal RNA is filed under the name uncultured bacterium. RNAcentral describes it as "partial 16S ribosomal RNA". It matches the Rfam family "Bacterial small subunit ribosomal RNA", at positions 524 to 776 of the family's 1533-position model. The record is from RNAcentral.
UACGUAGGGGGCAAGCGUUGUCCGGAAUCAUUGGGCGUAAAGCGCGCGUAGGCGGCCCUGUAAGUCCGUUGUGAAAGUCAAAGGCUCAACCUUUGAAAGCCGAUGGAUACUGCAGGGCUAGAGUCCGGAAGAGGCGAGUGGAAUUCCUGGUGUAGUGGUGGAAUGCGCAGAUAUCAGGAGGAACACCAAUAGCGAAGGCAGCUCGCUGGGACGGUACUGACGCUAAGGCGCGAAAGCGUGGGGAGCAAACAGG